RNAcentral lists this ribosomal RNA (497 nucleotides) under uncultured bacterium. RNAcentral's name for it is "partial 16S ribosomal RNA". It matches the Rfam family "Bacterial small subunit ribosomal RNA", at positions 28 to 507 of the family's 1533-position model. The record is from RNAcentral.
GAUGAACGCUGGCGGCGUGCCUAAUACAUGCAAGUCGAGCGAACGGACGAGAAGCUUGCUUCUCUGAUGUUAGCGGCGGACGGGUGAGAAACACGUGGAUAACCUACCUAUAAGACUGGGAUAACUUCGGGAAACCGUAGCUAAUACCGGAUAAUAUUUUGAACCGCAUGGUUCAAAAGUGAAAGACGGUCUUGCUGUCACUUAUAGAUGGAUCCGCGCUGCAUUAGCUAGUUGGUAAGGUAACGGCUUACCAAGGCAACGAUGCAUAGCCGACCUGAGAGGGCGAUCGGCCACACUGGAACUGAGACACGGUCCAGACUCCUACGGGAGGCAGCAGUAGGGAAUCUUCCGCAAUGGGCGAAAGCCUGACGGAGCAACGCCGCGUGAGUGAUGAAGGUCUUCGGAUCGUAAAACUCUGUUAUUAGGGAAGAACAUAUGUGUAAGUAACUGUGCACAUCUUGACGGUACCUAAUCAGAAAGCCACGGCUAACUACGUG